RNAcentral lists this ribosomal RNA (498 nucleotides) under uncultured bacterium. RNAcentral's name for it is "bacterial SSU rRNA". It matches the Rfam family "Bacterial small subunit ribosomal RNA", at positions 28 to 513 of the family's 1533-position model. The record is from RNAcentral.
GAUGAACGCUAGCUACAGGCUUAACACAUGCAAGUCGAGGGGAAACGAUAUUGGAAGCUUGCUUCCGAUAGGCGUCGACCGGCGCACGGGUGAGUAACGCGUAUCCAACCUGCCCAUCACUUGGGAAUAACCUUGCGAAAGUAAGACUAAUGCCCAAUGACAUUUAUAGAAGGCAUCGGAAAUGAAUUAAAGAUUUAUCGGUGAUGGAUGGGGAUGCGUCUGAUUAGCUUGUUGGCGGGGUAACGGCCCACCAAGGCGACGAUCAGUAGGGGUUCUGAGAGGAAGAUCCCCCACAUUGGAACUGAGACACGGUCCAAACUCCUACGGGAGGCAGCAGUGAGGAAUAUUGGUCAAUGGGCGAGAGCCUGAACCAGCCAAGUAGCGUGCAGGAUGACGGCUCUAUGGGUUGUAAACUGCUUUUAUAAGGGAAUAAAGUGAGUCUCGUGAGACUUUUUGCAUGUACCUUAUGAAUAAGGACCGGCUAAUUCCGUGCCAGCA